RNAcentral lists this ribosomal RNA (478 nucleotides) under uncultured bacterium. RNAcentral's name for it is "partial 16S ribosomal RNA". It matches the Rfam family "Bacterial small subunit ribosomal RNA", at positions 28 to 523 of the family's 1533-position model. The record is from RNAcentral.
GACGAACGCUGGCGGCGUGCUUAACACAUGCAAGUCGAACGGUAAGGCCCUUCGGGGUACACGAGUGGCGAACGGGUGAGUAACACGUGGGUGAUCUGCCCUGCACUUCGGGAUAAGCCUGGGAAACUGGGUCUAAUACCGGAUAGGACCACUGCCUGCAUGGGUGGUGGUGGAAAGCUUUUGCGGUGUGGGAUGGGCCCGCGGCCUAUCAGCUUGUUGGUGGGGUGAUGGCCUACCAAGGCGACGACGGGUAGCCGGCCUGAGAGGGUGACCGGCCACACUGGGACUGAGAUACGGCCCAGACUCCUACGGGUGGCAGCAGUGGGGAAUAUUGCACAAUGGGCGCAAGCCUGAUGCAGCGACGCCGCGUGAGGGAUGACGGCCUUCGGGUUGUAAACCUCUUUCAGCACCGACGAAGCGCAAGUGACGGUAGGUGCAGAAGAAGGACCGGCCAACCACGUGCCAGCAGCCGCAGUAA